CAGUCGCCACGGUAAUACGAGGGGGGCAAGCGUUGUUCGGAAUUAUUGGGCGUAAAGGGUGCGUAGGCGGUUUCGUAAGUCUUAUGUGAAAUCUAUGGGCUCAACCCAUAGUCUGCAUGGGAAACUGCGAGGCUUGAGGAUGGGAGAGGUGAGUGGAAUUUCCGGUGUAGCGGUGAAAUGCGUAGAUAUCGGAAGGAACACCUGUGGCGAAAGCGGCUCACUGGACCAUUUCUGACGCUGAUGCACGAAAGCUAGGGGAGCAAACAGGAUUAGAUACCCCGGUAGUCCCUGUCUCUUAUAC
Molecule: ribosomal RNA, 301 nt
Filed under: uncultured bacterium
Lineage: Bacteria
Description: partial 16S ribosomal RNA
Rfam family: Bacterial small subunit ribosomal RNA
Source: RNAcentral